GGCAGUCUACCUUGGGGUAUACCCACGGUAGUAGUUUAUCGGUAGACGGUGCGCAAACUACGAACUCGAUGGUGACGCAAGACACGGACAAGCUUUUUAUCCAGGUUCGGCCGCCGAGUUGGCGUAAUACCUACGUCCUGCGUCUGGUUGUAUUGAUUUGUGUUGAGAGAAUUGUGUGUCCUAGGGGGGUCCCUUGCCCCUCCUUAUAUAGUCUGGAGGGCAGGGUUACAGAUGUGGAAACUAAUCCUAGUCGGUUACAAUUGCCACAGAUAGUUCGAUAUCAAUUCCUAUUCUAACCGACUAGAAUCCCGCUUGAUCUCCACGUCUUGUUUCCUUGCGCGAAACUCCGAGCUGUCGGAUCAGGCCUUUGAACUCGUCUCGUAAUGGGCCAAGCUUCCUGGCCGAAGUCUAGCCGUAAGGGUAUAGGGGUUUAUACCCCCACAAAAUGCGAGUAGAAACACUUAGCUGGAUAAAUGGGGUUGCUCCCCCAAGCUGGAUUUUGACGUAAUUUCUUCUGAUGUAGCUAGCAAGUGAUGGAGGUGUAUUUGAAUGUCGGCAGCACCCUGACAGCGAUUAGGAUGUCCUCCGUCUGCUAGUCUUCUUUGAUCCUUGAAUUCUGUGGAGCUCAAAUAGACAACAAAGCUUUGUGGAACUAGUUAAGUGUUAGCAUAAAUAUCUAGCCUUUAUCAUGUUGAGCCUCCUUAAUAAAUGUUACUCUCUUUGGUAGGAUCAUAAAUUUAUUUUUAUAUUUUCAUUUUUAUAGAACAGGAAUAUAUUUAUUUUAUUUUUACACCACCACAGUGAAUGUACUUAUGGGUUUUAUGCCACGAGCAUACUCACAUGGGGUUUACUAUUUUUAACAUUUUUUUAUUUUUUUCAAGAUAGCAUGAUUAACUAACAAGUCAUUUAAGAAAAGUAAGUAACUAAAAGGAAAAGGGAAUGUAGAAGGGAUAAAUAUGGAUAACUACCGAUUUUACCUUUUGGCGAGGGUUCAAUGUUUUAAGUGACAAGACUUCUCACCGUGCUCAUUCUUCAGGUGCGUCAUUUGAUUCAGGUGUGGACCUUGACAUCUGCUCCUCUUGAUACGGUGUCACCCAUGUUCUUCGUUUGUCCAGCAGUUCAAAGUGCGGUGUUGGUAGUAUCUUGCUCAGUGUAUUUGUGCUCGUAGAUUCGGGUCCUUCACUUGGUGGAAUCUGGGAGUUGUAAAGCUCCGCCAUGUUUUGCUCGAAGUGUACCUGCUCAUGGAGACAAGGCAGAGAUCAAGUGCAUGGGCCCUGUUGGUGGAAAACACCAACAGAACCAAAAGUGUAUUUGUUCUUCUCUAACCUUAAGCAUGGUGAGCAAGACAAAGUUGAUGGAUGAUAAGUUUAUGAGUGUAGCACUUAUAACAUUUGUCAGAUCAGAUCGCUCAACCUUAUGGAGAGAUAAUCUAUCUAUGUAUAUGUCUUUUUCUUUAUAUCUCUCAAGGACUGAAUGUGCAACAUUUUAGCUCAUAUGGUUAGGAGUGUGGGAUCAUGGAGCUAGUACUAGGAACAAAGAUUAAAGGACUAAACAUGCUGAAUCAGUUGGGUUGGUUAAUUUGGAGUUAUAAAUCAUACAUGUUUGUCUUUUUUAUUCAUAUGAACGCCAGAACCAAGGAGAAGCUGAUAAAAGUGAUAGUCAAGUACCUAAGGUGUUACCUUACUUGAAGAGUGAUGGUACAGUCUCACCUUGUGGAAGCUUUCCUUUCUUAGCGGCUGUGCAUCGUGUUUGUAGCACCCUCCAUGGAUCAUCUCUUAUGAGCUACGUCUUCCUUGUGCAAAUUGUUAAACUUCAUGUGUCUCUCUCUUUGUCUCUGAUGUGAGUUUAUCUCAGGAAUUUCCAGGUUGAUAUUGAAAGUUUUCCUGCAGGGUUAGUCCAACAAAAUACCCAAUAUCUACUAUAACAUACUAUCGGCUCAAAAAUCAACCUAGACACCAUGUCUAAUUUGAUUUUGGAGGGCAUUUUAACCUAAGCACC
RNAcentral lists this long non-coding RNA (1998 nucleotides) under Sorghum bicolor (sorghum). Its description in RNAcentral is "long non-coding RNA (SBIC_LNC008742)". Lineage: Eukaryota; Viridiplantae; Streptophyta; Magnoliopsida; Poales; Poaceae. The record is from RNAcentral.